Molecule: long non-coding RNA, 1176 nt
Organism: Gordionus sp. m RMFG-2023
Lineage: Eukaryota; Metazoa; Nematomorpha; Gordioida; Chordodea; Parachordodidae
Exons: 2
Source: RefSeq, a predicted model, not a curated record
UGACCUGAUACGUUUAUAUGUGACUAUAUGGUGUUUACAAUGCAAUUAAAUUUUAAUUAAUUAAAUUAAUAUGCAAAAUAUAUAUUCCUUAUAUUUGGUUCAGCAGCCUAAUAUUCAAAUCGUUCAUAAUGCAUUACCAAUCAAUCAUUACUGUUUACCGGUGAAUUUUGAUAAUCAUUUACAACAAAUUUAUAUACCUUCAGAUUUAAUUAAUUUUGGAGAUUCAUUUAAUUCCACUUUUCAAAGAAUCUUAUCUAGUUCAAAUUUUAAUAUAAAUAUGCCUAAUCAAGGUGUUACAUUUUUAAAUCAAGAUUUUAUUAAUCAAUUAAUUCCAGUAGCUAUACAUGAUUGUCAUUCACCAAUUUCUGGUUAUCCAUUACAGAGUAAUAGGAUUAGUAAUCUUUUAGAAUUCAAUGUAAAUCCAUCUAAUAAAAGAAAUUUUAAUAAAUAUGUAAAACCUCACAUUAAUACUAAAAUGCAUAUAUCUUUGGAAAAUGAUGAUUUGGAUUUUGGACCAAAUAAAAAUGAAAGAUAUUCUAAGGAAAAUUCACUUUUAUUAAUAUCUCAAAAUAAUGUAAAUAACAAUUUCUUAACAAACUUAAGCUGCAAAAUUUCUCAGGGAUAUACUUCUGCUUAUUUACCAGAAAAUAAUUUGACUAAUUCUAAAAAAUCAUAUGUUAAUAAAAAUAUUUUAUAUUCCAAAUAUUUUAAUAAAAGAAAUAAUAAUCACUCAAGAUCAAAUUCAUUGUCAAAAAUAUGUGAAUUAAUUAAUAAACAAACAUCAGAGAUAGCUAAGAAUAAAAGUAAGCCUAAAUAUUUAUAUUCUUUGGCAAAUGAGUCAUUGAAUCCAUUCAAUAGGAAGUCAAAAAAGGAUCAUGGUAACAUCCAUAAAAUGCGAAACAAUAUAAGGGAUGAAUCUGCUAAUUCACAUUCUUCCAUGCAAAUGUCAAAUAAUAUAAAAAAUAUGCAAUUCUUAGAUCAUAUGCAAGGUUGGAAACGUAUAAAACAUGAAGGCAAAAUUUUUUAUAUCAGCCCGACUAACAUAGAACUUAGUUCAAUAGACGACGUUGAAAAAUAUUUACUCACCCCAGGAACGUGUAAAUGUGGUCUACAAUGCCCCGUGAUUAUUGAUAAAAUUUUUGACUUUGUUAAUGAAUAAUAUUUUUUUUUUAAAAA